UAAAAAAUCAAAUAGCCGUUGAGAGUGUUCGAGAGAAUAACAUAACCGAAAUUCAAACGUGGAGCUGGCAAAAGCAUUUCAAGUGAUGAUAUAAAUGAACAAUUCAAUCUCAUUCUGUUAUUGACAAUGGUUUUUUCUAUUGUUUUUCCCUUGCCUGCUAGUGGUUUGUUCUGUUUUCUUGUUCUUUUUUUCUCUGAAUCUUUUUGUCAGCGUUCUAUCUGUUCAAUUUAUUUAGGGUUUGUUUUGUUUUGAUUUUUUAAGGGUUUGUUUUGUUUCAGUUUUCUUGUAAUAGUUUGUUCUGUUUUCUUGUUCUUUCUUUCUCUGUAUUUUUUUUGUCAGCGUUCUGUCUGUUCACUUUUUAAGGGUUUGUUUUCUUUUCAUUUUUUUUUUAAAGGUGGUAUACAGUGUGCACACUGGUCUGUCAAUGUUAUUUAUCUACUACUUUUUCUAUUUUUUGGGUAUUACAUUUUUUUUAAGCAGAUAUAGAGGCAGAACAGGUGAAAUGGCAAUUGAGGGCAAAAUUCUUUUUCCAGUAGCAGAUAAAGAGGCACAGCAGGUGAAGAGGCAGAGAAAAGGAAGAGGCAAGAAAAGGAAAUGGCAAUUGAAUGAGGGAGAAAAACAUUUUCAGGAUAAAGAGGAAUCAUAGAUUGUUUGUCUUGUUUGAUUUACAGGAUGUUGCAUCAAAGCUAAUGUCAUUUUCACAACAAGGACCUCGUGCAGUUUGCAUCCUUUCAGCAAAUGGUGCCAUUUCUAAUGUGACACUUCGUCAACCUGCAACUUCUGGUGGCACUUUGACAUAUUAUGCUAUUAAUUUGUACUUCUUUAUUCUUUCCGUUCAUUAUAAUCAAGAAGAAAAUAUUCGCUCCAAGUAAUAUAGAUCUACUAGCUCAUGUUUUGGUAGGUUCUUUUCUUAUUUCAAAAGGAAGAGGAAGACAAAGGAAAUGACAAUUGAAUGAGGGCAAAAUCCUUUUUCAAUGCGAUUCUUUAUAUUGGUUAUCUUUAUUAUAAAAUGAAUGGGUUGUUUGCCUUGCUAAACUGAAUAGGAAUCACAGAUAAGGAAGUAGCAGUAAAAUGGAGGCAAAAUUCUUCUUCCAAACAAUUCUUCAUAUAAAUUAUUUUUUUUAUAAGAACUAACAAAUUGUUUGCCUUGCUAGGAUACUCAAUAAUCAUAGAUUGUUUACAUAUGGAUGGCUGAUUCAACAUUUCAGAUUUGACCACUUCAGAGGCCAUUUUCUCUUAAUCUUUCAAUUUUUACACCAUGUUUUAAUUUGAUUUGUUUUCAUUUUUAAUAGAUUGACUAAUAUUGUUUAUUUUUAUGUUUUUGCAGCAAAAUGCUGGUAGAUAAAUGGUGGUUUUCAUUUUUCUGUUUAUUCCUUUUGGUCAAGAUUCUAAUGUAGUCAUGAGAUGUAGAGAAAUAGAGAUGAGAAGUUCGUUAUGAUCACAAGUACCUGCUCUAGAAGGAAGAUAGAUUUCCAAAACAGCCAACCCUGUGUUUGAAUUCUUUCAUGCCUAGGCUCUAUAAACUCUGGUGGAUCUAACAGAUGUCUACAGACCAAAUUAUGCAUCGAAAAAUGAAGAAUUAAAGUAGACUUACAUGUGGGCACUUCUGUUAUUUCAGGACUUAUCUUUCAGUAAAAAUAUCUCCUCUUGAUAAUUUCGUCAGGAUUCUAAGGUUCAUCUCAGCAGUUCACUGACUUCAUAGGAUGCUCAGCUGCAAUGCCCUAUUGGACUUUUGAUAUUGCCCUGGUCUGCAAUUUUUUGUACUGAGUGAAGGCAAAAUUCCUUUUCCACCUUGUACUUCUUAUAAGUUGUUUAUCUUGCUAGGACGAAUAAGAAUCUUGGAUUUGACCACUUUAGAUGUCAUUUUCUCUUUAUCUUUCAGUUUUUACACAAUCCAAAGAGGCCAUGUUUUAAUUUGGUUUAUUUUCAUUUCUAAUAGAUUUGCUCAUGUUUAUUUUUAUGUUCUUGGAGAAAAAUGCUGGUAGCUAGAUGCAGAGCAGGUGACGAGGGAGAGAAGAGGAAGAGGCAAGAAACAAAAUGGCAAUUAAAUGAGGGGAAAAUUCUUUUUUCAGGUAAUUCUUUGUAUAGAUUAUAUUUAUUUAUAAGAAUUAAUGAGUUGUGUGCCUUGUUAAAAUGAAUAGGAAUCACAAAUAAGGAAGCAGCAAUUGAAUGGAGGUAAAAUUCUUCAAAAUAAUUGUUCAUAUAAAUUAUCUUUAUUAUAAGAACUAAUGAAUUGUUUGUCUCUUGCUAGGAUAAAGAGGAAUCAUAGAUUGUUUGCCUUGUUUGACUUACAUGUGGGUUUUUUAAAUUGGUUUUCCCUCCUAUUAAUUGUUUAUUCUGUUUUCUUGAUCUUUCUUUCAUUUUUUUUUUCUCAAUGCUCUGUUUGUUCAAUUUUUUUUCAAGAGUUUGUUUUGUUUUGAUUUUUUUAAGAAUUUUUCUUUUUCUUGCAAAGGUUGUAUACAGUGUGCACACUGGUCUGUCCAUGUUAUUCAUUUAUUAUUUGUUCUAGUCUCUUUUUUUCGGUAUUAAAUUUUUUUGGUAGCAGAUAAAGAGACAGAGUUGGUGAAGAGGCACAGUAGAGGAAAAGGCAGAGAAAAGGAAACGACAAUUGAAUGAGGGCAAAAUUCUUUUUAUUAUAAGAAUUAAUGGGUUGUUUGCCUUGUUAAAAUGAAUAGGAAUCACAGAUAAGGAAGCAGCAAUCAAAUGGAGGCAAAAUUUUUCUUCCAAACAAUUUUUCGUACAAAUUAUCUUUAUUGUAAGAACUAAUGAAAUCUUUAUUAUACUAAUCACAGAUAAAGAGGAAUAAUAGAAUCUAACAAAGUUCAUUUUUCUCUUAAUCUUUUAGUUUUUACACAAUCCAAGGAGGCUAUGUUUUAAUUUGGUUUAUUUUCAUUUCUAAUAGAUUUUCUCAUGUUUAUUUUUAUGUUCUUAGAGAAAAAUGCUGAUAGGUAAAUAGUGGGUUGAGCAAAGGACUGAUGAAGUGAGAUUUCAAUGCAGUCAUGAGAUUUGAAUACAGGGGUAGAUAAGUGGACCGGGGAAGAGAUCACAUAACCACUGCUCUGGCAGGGUGGAGGGUUUACACACAACCCUAACAGACAGUGCAAGCUCACAACCUUUCCGGUGGGAGUGACAUUGAUCAAUUUCUUUAGUAAAAUUUUGGUCAAGCAUAUUGAUCUAACAUCAUUGUAAUAUCUACAAAUAUAAUGUUUAAUAAAAAAAGUUUAUCAGAAGGGGCUAACAACCCCUUCUAAAGACUGAAGGGAAUAGCUAGUGGCCAUGGUUAUUCCUCAAGGUCACGACAACUUAAAGAAUGGUUGAUAGGCCAAAACCAUUCUUUAAGGUCUCCACCUCAUUUUAUUUUCAUUUUCAUUUGGGAAUUUGUUAAUUUUAAUCUCAACACAAGUUACAAAUGAUGAUUUUGAAAAUAAAUUUAUCAUUUAUAAAUCGCAAGACAAAUCCCUUUAUAAAUGUUCUAUGAAUAAUUGCUAAAACAGUUCACAAAGAAUAAUCAUAAAUUACUCUUAUUAAAACAUAAUUUACUCACUUUAUGAAUACAAUUCACAUUAGAUAAUCAUGCCCCCAAUUUUUAAAAAAAUGCAUUUAAAUAGAUUUGUAUGGCCCCCAUCUUUUUCACAUGGAUUUAAGAAGGGAGGGUUUGUUGGAUUUCUUUGCAGGUUCGUCUCAGCAGUUCACUGACCUCAUAGGAUGUUCAGCUGCAAUGCCCUAUUGGACUUUUGGUAUUGUCCUGAUCUGCAAUUUUUUGUAUUGAGUGAAGGCAAAAUUCCUUUUCCACUUAAUACUCCAUAUAAGUUGUUUGUCUUGCUAGGACGAAUAAGAAUAUCGGAUUUGACCACUUUAGAUGUCAUUUUCUCUUAAAUCUUUAAGUUUUUAUACAAUCCAAAGAGGCCAUGUUUUGACUUGCUCAUGUUUAUUUUUAUGUUCUCGGAGAAAAAUGUUGGUAGCUAGAUGUGGCGAGGGAGAGAAGAGGAAAAGGCAAGAAAAGGAAAUGGCAAUGGAAAUUCUUUUUUUUUUUAGGCUAUUUUUCGUAUAAAUUAUCUUUAUUUUAAGAAUUAAUGGGCUGUUUGCCUUGCUAAAAUGAAUAGGAAUUACAGAUAAGGAAGCAGCAAUCAAAUGGAGGUAAAAUUCUUCUUCAAAAUAAUUCUUCUUAUAAAUUAUCUUUAUUAUAAAAACUAAUGAAUUGUGUGUCUUGCUAGGAUAAAGAGGAAUCAUAGAUUUUUUGCCUUAUUUGAUUUACACAUGUGGUUUUUUUUAUUGUUUUCCGCUUUUCUCUUAAUGGUUUAUUCUGUUUUCUUGUUUUUCUUUCAUUAUAAUUUUUUUUUGUGUUCUUAGAGUUUUUUAAGAGUUUGUUUUGUUUUGAUUUUUUUUUUAAUUUUCUUUUUUUUCUAAAGGUUGUAUACAGUGUGCACACUGGUCUGUCCACGUUAUUCAUUUAUUAUUUGUUCUUGUCUCUUUUUUUGGUAUUUUUUUUUUGUGGUAGCGAAUAAAGAGGCAGAGUUGUUGAAGAGGCAGUGUAGAGGAAGAGAGAGAAAAGAAAUGAGGGUGAAAUUCUUUUUUUCAGGCUUGUCUUGAUCAACAGUUCAUUGACCUUAGGAUGCCCAGCUACAAUUCAGCAUGCUCAGCUACAAUGUUUUCAGACCCCUCAAAAGGGUGGAGGGUUGCCAGCAAGAGAUUGAGAUAUUAAUCAUUUCUUUAAUAAAAUUAUGGCCAAGCAUAUUGGUCAAGCAUUGUAACAUGCACAAAUAUUAUGUUUAAUAAAAAAAAUUUAUCCGAAGGA
Cryptomeria japonica (Japanese cedar) is the source of this 4795-nucleotide long non-coding RNA. RefSeq lists it as uncharacterized. The transcript is spliced from 8 exons. Lineage: Eukaryota; Viridiplantae; Streptophyta; Pinopsida; Cupressales; Cupressaceae. The record is from RefSeq and is a predicted model, not a curated record.